ACUUGCCCAUACCAGCCAACAUGUCCCAGCUACACCAGUAGAAACAUGGAAAAUAGGUGCAGGAUGAGGCCAUUCGGCCCUUCGAGCCAGCACCGUUCGCCAUUCAUUGUGAUCAUGGCUGAUCGUCCCCUAUCAAUAACCCGUGCCUGCCUUCUCCCCAUAUCCCUUGAUUCCACUAGUCCCUGGAGCUCUAUCUAACUCUCUCUUAAAUCCAUCCAGUGACUUGGCCUCCACUGCCCUCUGUGGCAGGGAAUUCCACAGAUUCACACAACUCUCUGGGUGGAAAAGUUUCUCCUCAUCUCAGUCCCAAAUGGCCACAGAUUCACACAACUCUCUGGGUGGAAAAGUUUCUCCUCACCACAGUCCCAAAUGGCCACAGAUUCACACAACUCUCUGGGUGGAAAAGUUUCUCCUCACCUCAGUCUUAAAUGGCCUCCCCUUUAUUCUAAGACUGUGUGUGUGGCCCCUGGUUCUGGACUCGCCCAACAUUGGGAACAUUUUUCCUGCAUCUAGCUUGUCCAGUCCUUUUAUAAUUUUAUAUCUAACUAUCUAACUAUCCCACCUGUUCGCGUUCCCUCCAAACCUGUCCUACACAUAUACCUGUCCAAGACUUGUUUGGAUAGUCCCUGACUCGGCGGGCCGAAGGGCCUGUUUCCGCGCUGUAUCUCUUCAACUGAACUAACCUAUAAGUUGACGUUGUUUCCUGUAUGUAUUUAUUUAGGCCGAAAGCCGAACCUGGGACGAAAUACGAAGCGAACAGGAGUCCAAGGGGACAGACUGCCUCGGCCACAGAUGCCGAGGACGGAAUGGCAAACUAUGAGAAUAUCCCGGGUAAAGAUCAGGGAGCCACUCACGCACCAGAGGGAGACCCCACCUAUAUGGGUCUGAAGCUGGAAGAUCGAUCAGUAUACAGUGAACUACGGAGGUAGCCGGGCCGGCCCAUUGAUCAGCUCGUUAUAUCAACAAGGCUCACAAGGUCACAAUUUCACAAGUUAUUGGAGUAGAAUUAGGCCAUUCGGCCCAUCGAGUCUACUCCGCCAUUCAUUCAUGGCUGAUCUCUGCCUCCCAAUCCCAUUUUCCUGCCUUCUCCCCAUGUAUUGUGUUUUUAAAACAAUAUAUAAAUUAUGAUGUUUUUAUAAAUGAUAUACCAAGAUUUUAUAUGUAUGUGUUUUGUGAUAUUUCGGGAUUUCAUUCCACUUUUAUGCUGAUGACAGUCAGCUUUAUGUGACUCUUGGAAAGGGGGGUGUACACUCUGUCGGGCUCUUGCUUGAGUGUCUUAGUGACAUAAAGGCCUGGAUGUCACUGAACUUUUUAAAAUUUAAUGAUGACAAGACGGAGGUAAUGAUCUUUGGUGGCACCUCUGGGCCCCCCCUGUUGAUCUAGGCUCUUUGUCUGCAUAUCUCAAACCUAACAUCACGAACCUGGGGAUUAAAGUGGACCCUGAGCUUAGAUUUGACUGUCAGGUGAGGGCUGUUGUUAAAUCUGUUUUUUUCCAUCUGAGGCAGCUGGCAAAAAUAAAGCCGAUUUUGUCGAGGCAGCACUUUGAGACGGUAAUCCACGCCUUUGUUACCACCCGGCUGGAUUACUGCAAUGCACUGUAUCUGGGGGUUAGUCGGUCCUCCAUCGCCCGUCUCCAGAUGGUACAGAAUGCAGCUGUUCGUCUCUUGACUGGCACACGAAAGCAUGAUCAUGUUUCACACCUUUUGGCCUCUCUCCACUGGCUGCCUGUUCAGUAUAGGAUUCGUUUUAAAAUUAUUUUAUUUACUUUUAAAUCCCGAAAUGGUUUGGAAGGGUUCAUCAAUACCAACGCUUAAAAUGUGGAUUGCAAGUAUGUUGGACACCGCUCAUCUUGAGGAAAUGCGAUUCCUCCUAAUGGAUAAAUCAGACCAAUUCAUAACGAGUUGGUCUCCAUUCGUCGUUUUUUUGGAAUCAUAUGGUGCAACCCAAUUGUAAAAAAUAACUGUUCAGAUUCAGAUUCAAUUUUAAUUGUCAUUGUCAGUGUACAGUACAGAGACAACGAAAUGCAUUUCAGGACUGGACGAGGGUUGGUCAAGACUAUAAAUAAUGAUCUCCUUUUCUUUUCACUAUUUUCUCUCUCAACUUUCUUCAUUUACUCGUUUUCUUUCUUCACACACUAUAUAUUUCACAUCUUUCUAUCCUUUACUAUCUAACUUCUUUUUCUUAUUCUCAUCUUUUUUCAAUGUAACAAAAAAAAAAAAGUUGUACAUAAAAUGUAUUAUGAAAAUAUAUAUUAGGCACUUUGGUGCCAUAUGACUGUACUUACUUCUAAUAAAAUAAAAUAUAAAAAAUAAAAUAUAAAUCCCUAAGUGGUCUUGCCCCGUCCUACCUAUCUGAGCUUCUUCACCCUUAUACACCCUCCCGCUCUCUCAGGUCAGAUGAUCAGCUGCUCCUGAUUGAGCCAAAGACUAAGCGGAAGCUCAGAGGGGACCGUGCCUUUGCUGUGUCGGCUCCGAGAUUGUGGAAUGAAUUGCCUCUGCACGUUAAACAGGCCCCUUCUCUAGCUGUUUUUAAGUCGCUCCUGAAGACAUAUCUAUUCUCCGUGGCCUUUGUAGACCAGUGAGGUGUUGAAUUGUUUAUUUACUUUAUUUGCUUGGUUUUGCUGCGUGGUUUGUACUCGUGUUUUAUGUAUUUUAAUUUGUUGUUUGGAUUUUCGUAUGUAAUUUAUGCGCCUCGUGUUAGCUGUAUGUUCUGUUGUUCUGCCUGUUUUAUGAUGUCUUGCUUAUUUUCUUUUUUUUCUGUACAGCACUUUGGUCAGCUUUGGUUGUUUUUUAAGGUGCUUAACAAAUAAAGAUAUUAUUAU
This is a long non-coding RNA of Leucoraja erinaceus (little skate), 2821 nucleotides long. RefSeq lists it as uncharacterized. The record is from RefSeq and is a predicted model, not a curated record. The transcript is spliced from 4 exons. NCBI's taxonomy places the organism in Eukaryota, Metazoa, Chordata, Chondrichthyes, Rajiformes, Rajidae.